GACGAACGCUGGCGGCGUGCUUAACACAUGCAAGUCGAACGGAAAGGCCCUGCUUUUGUGGGGUGCUCGAGUGGCGAACGGGUGAGUAACACGUGAGUAACCUGCCCUUGACUUUGGGAUAACUGCAGGAAACUGGGGCUAAUACCGGAUAGGAGCUCCUGCUGCAUGGUGGGGGUUGGAAAGUUUCGGCGGUUGGGGAUGGACUCGCGGCUUAUCAGCUUGUUGGUGGGGUAGUGGCUUACCAAGGCUUUGACGGGUAGCCGGCCUGAGAGGGUGACCGGCCACAUUGGGACUGAGAUACGGCCCAGACUCAUAAGGGAGGCAGCAGUGGGGAAUAUUGCACAAUGGGCGGAAGCCUGAUGCAGCAACGCCGCGUGCGGGAUGACGGCCUUCGGGUUGUAAACCGCUUUCGCCUGUGACGAAGCGUGAGUGACGGUAAUGGGUAAAGAAGCACCGGCUAACUACGU
RNAcentral lists this ribosomal RNA (467 nucleotides) under uncultured bacterium. Its description in RNAcentral is "partial 16S ribosomal RNA". It matches the Rfam family "Bacterial small subunit ribosomal RNA", at positions 28 to 506 of the family's 1533-position model. The record is from RNAcentral.